Molecule: ribosomal RNA, 2683 nt
Filed under: Streptococcus thermophilus
Lineage: Bacteria; Bacillati; Bacillota; Bacilli; Lactobacillales; Streptococcaceae
Description: partial 23S ribosomal RNA
Rfam family: Bacterial large subunit ribosomal RNA
Source: RNAcentral
AGGUUAAGUUAAUAAGGGCGCACGGUGGAUGCCUUGGCACUAGAAGCCGAUGAAGGACGUGACUAACGACGAAAUGCUUUGGGGAGCUGUAAGUGAGCAAUGAUCCAGAGAUGUCCGAAUGGGGGAACCCGGCAGGUAAUGCCUGUCACUCAUUACUGUUAAGGUAAUGUAGAGGAAGACGCAGUGAACUGAAACAUCUAAGUAGCUGUAGGAAGAGAAAGCAAAAGCGAUUGCCUUAGUAGCGGCGAGCGAAACGGCAAGAGGGCAAACCGAAGAGUUUACUCUUCGGGGUUGUAGGACUGCAACGUGGACUUAAAGAUUAUAGAAGAACUACCUGGGAAGGUAGGCCAAAGAGAGUAAUAGCCUCGUAUUCGAAAUAGUCUUUAUACCUAGCAGUAUCCUGAGUACGGCGAGACACGAGAAAUCUCGUCGGAAUCUGGGAGGACCAUCUCCCAACCCUAAAUACUCUCUAGUGACCGAUAGUGAACCAGUACCGUGAGGGAAAGGUGAAAAGCACCCCGGGAGGGGAGUGAAAUAGAACCUGAAACCGUGUGCCUACAACAAGUUCGAGCCCGUUAAUGGGUGAGAGCGUGCCUUUUGUAGAAUGAACCGGCGAGUUACGAUAUGAUGCGAGGUUAAGUUGAAGAGACGGAGCCGUAGGGAAACCGAGUCUUAAUAGGGCGCAUUAGUAUCAUGUCGUAGACCCGAAACCAUGUGACCUACCCAUGAGCAGGUUGAAGGUGAGGUAAAACUCACUGGAGGACCGAACCAGGGCACGUUGAAAAGUGCUUGGAUGACUUGUGGGUAGCGGAGAAAUUCCAAACGAACUUGGAGAUAGCUGGUUCUCUCCGAAAUAGCUUUAGGGCUAGCGUCGAUGUUAAGUCUCUUGGAGGUAGAGCACUGUUUGGGUGAGGGGUCCAUCCCGGAUUACCAAUCUCAGAUAAACUCCGAAUGCCAAUGAGAUAUAAUCGGCAGUCAGACUGCGAGUGCUAAGAUCCGUAGUCGAAAGGGAAACAGCCCAGACCACCAGCUAAGGUCCCAAAAUAUAUGUUAAGUGGAAAAGGAUGUGGGGUUGCACAGACAACUAGGAUGUUAGCUUAGAAGCAGCUAUUCAUUCAAAGAGUGCGUAAUAGCUCACUAGUCGAGUGACCCUGCGCCGAAAAUGUACCGGGGCUAAAACAUAUUACCGAAGCUGUGGAUACCUUUAUAGGUAUGGUAGGAGAGCGUUCUAUGUGCGAAGAAGGUGUACCGUGAGGAGUGCUGGAGCGCAUAGAAGUGAGAAUGCCGGUAUGAGUAGCGAAAGACAGGUGAGAAUCCUGUCCACCGUAAGACUAAGGUUUCCAGGGGAAGGCUCGUCCGCCCUGGGUUAGUCGGGACCUAAGGAGAGACCGAAAGGUGUAUCCGAUGGACAACAGGUUGAUAUUCCUGUACUAGAGUAUAUAGUGAUGGAGGGACGCAGUAGGCUAACUAAACCAGACGAUUGGAAGUGUCUGGCCAAGCAGUGAGGUGUGAUAUGAGUCAAAUGCUUAUAUCUUUAACAUUGAGCUGUGAUGGGGAGCGAAGUUUAGUAGCGAAGUUAGUGAUGUCACACUGCCGAGAAAAGCUUCUAGCGUUAAUUAUACUCUACCCGUACCGCAAACCGACACAGGUAGUCGAGGCGAGUAGCCUCAGGUGAGCGAGAGAACUCUCGUUAAGGAACUCGGCAAAAUGGCCCCGUAACUUCGGGAGAAGGGGCGCUGACUGAUGGUCAGCCGCAGUGAAUAGGCCCAAGCAACUGUUUAUCAAAAACACAGCUCUCUGCUAAAUCGUAAGAUGAUGUAUAGGGGGUGACGCCUGCCCGGUGCUGGAAGGUUAAGAGGAGUGCUUAGCGUAAGCGAAGGCAUGAAUUGAAGCCCCAGUAAACGGCGGCCGUAACUAUAACGGUCCUAAGGUAGCGAAAUUCCUUGUCGGGUAAGUUCCGACCCGCACGAAAGGCGUAAUGAUUUGGGCACUGUCUCAACGAGAGACUCGGUGAAAUUUUAGUACCUGUGAAGAUGCAGGUUACCCGCGACAGGACGGAAAGACCCCAUGGAGCUUUACUGCAGUUUGAUAUUGAGUAUCUGUACCACAUGUACAGGAUAGGUAGGAGCCUAUGACCUCGGGACGCCAGUUUCGAGUGAGGCGUUGUUGGGAUACUACCCUUGUGUUAUGGCUACUCUAACCCAGAUAGGUUAUCCCUAUCGGAGACAGUGUCUGACGGGCAGUUUGACUGGGGCGGUCGCCUCCUAAAAGGUAACGGAGGCGCCCAAAGGUUCCCUCAGAAUGGUUGGAAAUCAUUCGCAGAGUGUAAAGGUAUAAGGGAGCUUGACUGCGAGAGCUACAACUCGAGCAGGGACGAAAGUCGGGCUUAGUGAUCCGGUGGUUCCGUAUGGAAGGGCCAUCGCUCAACGGAUAAAAGCUACCCUGGGGAUAACAGGCUUAUCUCCCCCAAGAGUUCACAUCGACGGGGAGGUUUGGCACCUCGAUGUCGGCUCGUCGCAUCCUGGGGCUGUAGUCGGUCCCAAGGGUUGGGCUGUUCGCCCAUUAAAGCGGCACGCGAGCUGGGUUCAGAACGUCGUGAGACAGUUCGGUCCCUAUCCGUCGCGGGCGUAGGAAAUUUGAGAGGAUCUGCUCCUAGUACGAGAGGACCAGAGUGGACUUACCG